Molecule: ribosomal RNA, 248 nt
Filed under: uncultured bacterium
Lineage: Bacteria
Description: partial 16S ribosomal RNA
Rfam family: Bacterial small subunit ribosomal RNA
Source: RNAcentral
GCGUCGAGCGGCGGACGGGUGAGUAAUGCAUAGGAAGUUGCCCAGUUGAGGGGGAUAACCAUUGGAAACGAUGGCUAAUACCGCAUAAUCUCUUCGGAGCAAAGCGGGGGACCUUCGGGCCUCGCGCUACUGGAUACGCCUAUGUGGGAUUAGCUAGUUGGUGAGGUAAUGGCUCACCAAGGCGACGAUCCCUAGCUGGUCUGAGAGGAUGAUCAGCCACACUGGGACUGAGACACGGCCCAGACUCC